This is an RNA transcript of Bombus terrestris (buff-tailed bumblebee), 3154 nucleotides long. It is a transcript of the gene named RISC-loading complex subunit TARBP2, with no coding region annotated. The record is from RefSeq and is a predicted model, not a curated record. The transcript is spliced from 4 exons. Lineage: Eukaryota; Metazoa; Arthropoda; Insecta; Hymenoptera; Apidae.
CUAAUGUCUGUGUUUACUCCUAAAUCGUCCUUUCUAGUACAUUCGUUAUUCGUUAGUUUUCUUUUGUACCUUAUAUGGUGUGGUUUUAUUAAUUAUAAAAUAAAUUUUAUUUUCAACUACUCAAUUGUGAACAAAUCAUGAAGAUAAAAGUUGUACUUUUUCGGUAUAUUAGAUUUCCAUGAACCUCUUUUUCUCGGAUGUUUAUUUAUGAUUGUCUAAUCGGGACUUCCUGUACUUUGACUAGUACGCACUCAAGAAUACUACUAUUAAUUGUUAAGGAAAUAGGAAAGGUUGAGGUUCGUUUCGCGUUUAAAACUUUGAGUGUGAGUAUAAAGUGAUCAAUAGAAGUGGUACAACACAUAGAGUUACUAUUGUAAUCCAUUUAUCGUUGAACGAUAACAACAUAUAGUAAAUAAAAAAUAUAUGUAUUUAACUAAAUAUGGUGAUACAUUAAUGUUACUGAUUGCAGAAAAUUAUAAUAUAGAUACAAAUUUUUAAAACUAGGUUAGAUAAAUUUGCAACAAUACAUAAUGGAUAAAACACCAGUAUCUAUUUUACAUGAAAUAAUGGCAAAAAAUCUAGUAAUGCCUAAUUAUGAGCUUAUACAUGAUGGAGGAGGCACGCAUAUAAAUACUUUUACAUAUCGGGUAACAUGUGAAGGUCUUACUGCUACUGGUAUUGGACGUUCUAAAAAGGAUGCAAAGCAUGAAGCUGCAAAGGCAAUGUUAGAAGCUAUUGCAGCACAUAGAGGUCAUCUACAAUUACCAGCAUCGCCAGCACAAUCUUCUGUAAGAACCCCUUUACCACCAACAAUUCCUGAGGUAAAAAGAACUCCACCAGAUGUACCAUUUAUUAAUGCAGUUGGUGCUUUACAAGAUUUAUGUAUUGAAAACAAUUUGCAAGAACCUAAGUAUAAGCAAAUUAAUGAGGUUGGACCUCCACAUGCAAAAAUAUUUAGUAUUCAAUGCACAGUAACAACUUUUAAAGAAACUGGUAUUGCAAGAACAAAAAAGCAAGCUAAACAGGAGGCUGCUAAAAAGAUGUUAGAUAAAAUAAACGAAUUGACAAAUGGCUUAAACAUCGGAACUGAUAAAGACUUAGAUGAAAGGAAAGAUCAUAGUCAAAUUGCUAAAGCUCGAUACCCUGCACUUUCAAGGUUACCUACAUCUAGAAAAAUUAAUUUAGGUGUUAAGAUAUCAGAGUAUCAUUUACAGUUUAAGAAUUUGUUUGAUACUGAAAUGCAGAAAGAACUAACCGAAAAAUUCACAUCUAUCAUUUCACGAAAUGAAAGUCAUAUUUCUGAAGAUUUUGUAGAAGAUCUGCUAAACAAAUUACAAGAUGUCUUGGCAAUCAUGGGGUUAGAUGUAACAACUUCAGUAUUUCCUUCAAUUCUGGAGAAAUUCGUUGUAACUAUGAGAAUAGAUACGUCUCCUAGUAUUGUUGAAUUUGCAAUAGGAGAUACAAAAGCAGAAGCUCAAAUGCAUACAAUAAUAAAAUUGAUUAAAACUUUGAUACUUCUUUUAAAAUAAAGAUAGAAUAACUACACAUAAAAUAAAUAAAUUUCAAAAUAUUCGUGUCAAAGAAUAUGUUUAUAUUGGAAGAAUAAUUGUGUAAUUUUUUUUUUUUUUUUACUAUAUUUUAAUAUAUUAAAGUUAGAUAUCAGUUAAGCUUGCUAUAUCAAUUAAACAAUUUCUAUGGGAGAGAAGGGGGGAGAGAGAGAGAGAGAGGGAGAGAGAGAGAGAGAGAAAAGCGAGGACUUUUUAUUAUAGAUCUUACUUCAAAUAGAAACAUUUAUAUAAUUUUUACUUCUGUUACAAAAUAGUAUAAGCUAUAUAUGGGUGAGAUACUUUAUAAUAUAUAAUAGUGUAUCAUUUUAUAUAUACGUAAAUAUAUAAUAUUUAUGUAGCACACCACAUAAUUGUUACAUAAAUUAAUAAUUUAGUAUAUUAUACACAAUCCUUUGAGAUUAACCACUAUUUUUCAAUCUGCUAAAGAAAUGUUUUCAAUAAAGCUUAGGUAGUUUCGAGUCCGCUACAUACUCGAUAUCAAAAACGUCCAAGAAAAUUUCUUUUCAAUAAAAAAAUUAAGGUUACGUUAACUUUAUUAAAUGGCACUUUAUAUUUUGGAUUUUAUAGAGUUUUAGCUGAUAUUAACACGAAUUCAACAGCUUACCAUACAAUGACCUUGAGAUGACCGAAUUCAGAAAUUUAUGUGCGAUAUACAGUUGUAGUUCAUUGUAAUAUGUAAUAUAAAAAUGUAUUAUCAAUAUCGUUGAAUUUACUCGAUAAAUUUAUUAGUUUGGUAGUUUUAGUCUUAUUUUGAAUAUAUAAUUUAAUCAAAAUAAAAUAAUUUUCCUUAUUGAUGUAAUAUGUAUGUAUUAAUGUGAUAUUCUUAUUGAUGUAAUCUACAUUUCAAAGUUCAAGGUUACUUCAAAAUCAUAGCGCGAUAGGUCAUUGAAUUUAUCUAUCUUAUCGUCAGCUGUGAGUCUGCUAUUUAAAAAAAACUUUCUAUCGAAAAAAAUUUUUUCUUGGAUAUUUUUAAUAUCCAAAUAUAUAGCAGACCUAAAACUAAUUUUUAUCUAAAACAUUUCUUUGGCAAAUUAUAGGAAACUGCCUGAAAAAUGAUGGAUAAUCUCAGAGUAUACACUUGGUAUGUAUAAAUACUUGUAUUAUUUGAAAUUAUUAUAUAUUAUGAAAAGGAUAUUCGAAUAACAUUAAUUGUUCUAUUUAAAAUUAUUAAAUAUGAUGAGCAGAAUUUGAAAUAUGAAAAUAUAAACAUCUAUCCUCUAUCAAGAUGUAAGAAUCUUAAAUUUUCGUUCCGAAAAUACCAAGACGGAUGUAAACAAGUAAUUCAUAUAUUUUUUGAGAAUUAUUAGCCAAAUUUUAUAUAUUACUAUUUACCUUCUAUAUUAAUAUCAUUUAUCUGGUAAUUAAUUCAGAAGACUUAUAUCAAAUCAUUAAGGCAUGAAGGAUGUUAUAUGUAUAUAUCAUAUCGCAUUGGAAUACAAAUAUGUUCACUUUAGAAUUAAGUUAUACAAAUCUUUAAAUCUUUAUCAUUUGUAAUCCAAAAUUUUUUAUUUCUUUUAUAUAAAAUCAGGCUGUAAAAUAAGUGGCAAGAAUGGUAAAAAUUUAAUAAAAACUAUUUUGAAGCAGAA